CUUUCUCCGCCGGCGACCGGCGCACGGGUGAGUAACACGUAUGCAACCUGCCCCUGUCAGGGGGACAACCCGCCGAAAGGCGGGCUAAACCCGCGUACAUGCCACCGGGGCAUCCCGGAGGCAGGAAAGGCUUCGGCCGGACAGGGAUGGGCAUGCGGCGCAUUAGGCAGUAGGCGGGGUAACGGCCCACCUAACCGACGAUGCGAAGGGGUUCUGAGAGGAAGGUCCCCCACACUGGUACUGAGACACGGACCAGACUCCUACGGGAGGCAGCAG
Molecule: ribosomal RNA, 276 nt
Filed under: uncultured bacterium
Lineage: Bacteria
Description: partial 16S ribosomal RNA
Rfam family: Bacterial small subunit ribosomal RNA
Source: RNAcentral